RNAcentral lists this ribosomal RNA (723 nucleotides) under Sarcocystis cruzi. RNAcentral describes it as "SSU rRNA". It matches the Rfam family "Eukaryotic small subunit ribosomal RNA", at positions 211 to 899 of the family's 1831-position model. The record is from RNAcentral. Lineage: Eukaryota; Apicomplexa; Conoidasida; Eucoccidiorida; Sarcocystidae.
UAGAUACAGAACCAAUACACCAUCUGUUAACAGCAGGUGGUGUAAAAAAGGUGAUUCAUAGUAACCGAACGGAUCGCAUUAUGGUCAUUUUAUAUGGCUGGCGAUAGAUCAUUCAAGUUUCUGACCUAUCAGCUUUCGACGGUAGUGUAUUGGACUACCGUGGCAGUGACGGGUAACGGGGAAUUAGGGUUCGAUUCCGGAGAGGGAGCCUGAGAAACGGCUACCACAUCUAAGGAAGGCAGCAGGCGCGCAAAUUACCCAAUCCUGACUCAGGGAGGUAGUGACAAGAAAUAACAACACUGGAAAUUUUAUUUCUAGUGAUUGGAAUGAUGGGAAUUUAAACCCCUUUCAGAGUAACAAUUGGAGGGCAAGUCUGGUGCCAGCAGCCGCGGUAAUUCCAGCUCCAAUAGCGUAUAUUAAAGUUGUUGCAGUUAAAAAGCUCGUAGUUGGAUGUCUGCUGGAAGCAAUCAGUCCGCCCUAUUUGUAGGGUGUGCACUUGAUGAAUUCUGGCAUCUAUGUCCCAAUAAUAUGAUGGUGUAUACCCUGUGUACACCCAUCUAUAUUGGGAUAAUACCGUUACUUUGAGAAAAUUAGAGUGUUUGAAGCAGGCUAAUUGCCUUGAAUACUGCAGCAUGGAAUAACAAUAUAGGAUUUCGGUUCUAUUUUGUUGGUUUCUAGGACUGAAAUAAUGAUUAAUAGGGACAGUUGGGGGCAUUCGUAUUU